GCGCCACCUCCUCUCUUCUUUUCCCUUCUUCUUCUUCUUCUUCUUCUUCUUCUUCUUUCUUUCUUUCCUUUUUCUUUCUUUCUUUCUUUCCCUUUCUUCUUCCCUGCAACUGGGCCUGCGUCACUGCCAGCCCCUCCUCUAGCUCAUCGCGCCACCACAGCCCCUUCUGCCUUCGAUCGAGCAAGCGCCGCGUCUCACCCAGCUCGUCACGCCAUCACCACCGCCUAGCCGCCGCUCCAGUACGCCUCCGAUCACCAAGCUUGCAGAAAGUCAACAAAAAAAAAAUUAUUAUGGGAUACUUAUAAAGUUUCGGACUGUGAAGACAAAGGCUGGGAGCGCGCACAAUAAGAAAGGCAGUCCUUUGAAGGACAAAUAAAAAAAACUG
Non-coding RNA from Jatropha curcas, 385 nucleotides. The record is from RefSeq and is a predicted model, not a curated record. Lineage: Eukaryota; Viridiplantae; Streptophyta; Magnoliopsida; Malpighiales; Euphorbiaceae.